This 233-nucleotide unclassified non-coding RNA is filed under the name Hevea brasiliensis (rubber tree). Lineage: Eukaryota; Viridiplantae; Streptophyta; Magnoliopsida; Malpighiales; Euphorbiaceae. The record is from RNAcentral.
GGCCAAAGAACUGAAAGGGGUUUCGGAAAUGUCGGAAUCUGGGAGACCCAUGUCGGAAAUAGGACUUGAUGGGGUAACUGAUCGAUUGAAGAACUCAUUGACUUGCGCGGAAGAUGGAAAUGGAGUUGAAAUUAACAAGCCCGAUUUUCGAGAACUCGAUCUGGGUUCACCUGUUUCUCCAUUACGGAAUCGACCGCGUGGAUUCACCGCUACUACUACUACUACUACGACGA